AUUGAACGCUGGCGGCAGGCCUAACACAUGCAAGUCGAGCGGAUGAGAAGAGCUUGCUCUUCGAUUCAGCGGCGGACGGGUGAGUAAUGCCUAGGAAUCUGCCUGGUAGUGGGGGACAACGUUUCGAAAGGAACGCUAAUACCGCAUACGUCCUACGGGAGAAAGCAGGGGACCUUCGGGCCUUGCGCUAUCAGAGGAGCCUAGGUCGGAUUAGCUUGUUGGUGAGGUAAUGGCUCACCAAGGCGACGAUCCGUAACUGGUCUGAGAGGAUGAUCAGUCACACUGGAACUGAGACACGGUCCAGACUCCUACGGGAGGCAGCAGUGGGGAAUAUUGGACAAUGGGCGAAAGCCUGAUCCAGCCAUGCCGCGUGUGUGAAGAAGGUCUUCGGAUUGUAAAGCACUUUAAGUUGGGAGGAAGGGCAGCUAGCGAAUACCUGGUUGUUUUGACGUUACCGACAGAAUAAGCACCGGCUAACUCUGUGCCAGCAGCCGCCGUAA
This 500-nucleotide ribosomal RNA is filed under the name uncultured bacterium. RNAcentral describes it as "partial 16S ribosomal RNA". It matches the Rfam family "Bacterial small subunit ribosomal RNA", at positions 30 to 523 of the family's 1533-position model. The record is from RNAcentral.